This 354-nucleotide unclassified non-coding RNA is filed under the name soil metagenome. RNAcentral describes it as "partial contains 5.8S ribosomal RNA, internal transcribed spacer 2, and large subunit ribosomal RNA". The stretch from base 1 to 121 matches the Rfam family "5.8S ribosomal RNA", at positions 35 to 154 of the family's 154-position model. The record is from RNAcentral.
GAUGAAGAACGCAGCGAAAUGCGAUAAGUAAUGUGAAUUGCAGAAUUCCAGUGAAUCAUCGAAUCUUUGAACGCACAUUGCGCCCGCCAGUAUUCUGGCGGGCAUGCCUGUUCGAGCGUCAUUACAACCCUCAGGCCCCCGGGCCUGGCGUUGGGGAUCGGCGGAAGCCCCCUGCGGGCACAACGCCGUCCCCCAAAUACAGUGGCGGUCCCGCCGCAGCUUCCAUUGCGUAGUAGCUAACACCUCGCAACUGGAGAGCGGCGCGGCCACGCCGUAAAACACCCAACUUCUGAAUGUUGACCUCGAAUCAGGUAGGAAUACCCGCUGAACUUAAGCAUAUCAAUAAGCGGAGGA